RNAcentral lists this transfer RNA (85 nucleotides) under Isoetes aequinoctialis. RNAcentral's name for it is "tRNA-Leu". It matches the Rfam family "tRNA". Rfam says of the family: Transfer RNA (tRNA) molecules are approximately 80 nucleotides in length. Lineage: Eukaryota; Viridiplantae; Streptophyta; Lycopodiopsida; Isoetales; Isoetaceae. The record is from RNAcentral. RNAcentral also lists the same sequence under 1 other name.
GAGGUUAUGGCGGAAUUGGUAGACGCUGCGGACUUAAAAUCCGUUGGCUUUAUAGGCCGUGAGGGUUCAAGUCCCUCUAUCCUCA